RNAcentral lists this ribosomal RNA (253 nucleotides) under uncultured bacterium. RNAcentral describes it as "partial 16S ribosomal RNA". It matches the Rfam family "Bacterial small subunit ribosomal RNA", at positions 524 to 776 of the family's 1533-position model. The record is from RNAcentral.
UACGUAGGAGGCGAGCGUUGUCCGGAGUUACUGGGCGUAAAGGGUGCGCAGGCGGCCGCGCGCGUGGGUGGUGAAAUCUCCCGGCUCAACUGGGAGGGGGCCAUCCAGACGGCGUGGGUUGAGGCUCGGAGGGGGGCGUGGAAUUCCGGGUGGAGCGGUGAAAUGCGUAGAGAUCCGGAGGAACACCGACGGCGAAGGCGGCAUCCUGGACCAAUUCUGACGCUGAGGAGCGAAAGCCAGGGGAGCAAACGGG